This 854-nucleotide ribosomal RNA is filed under the name Salmonella enterica subsp. enterica. RNAcentral's name for it is "partial 23S ribosomal RNA". It matches the Rfam family "Bacterial large subunit ribosomal RNA", at positions 1 to 888 of the family's 2925-position model. The record is from RNAcentral. Lineage: Bacteria; Pseudomonadati; Pseudomonadota; Gammaproteobacteria; Enterobacterales; Enterobacteriaceae.
GGGUUGUGAGGUUAAGCGACUAAGCGUACACGGUGGAUGCCCUGGCAGUCAGAGGCGAUGAAGGACGUGCUAAUCUGCGAUAAGCGCCGGUAAGGUGAUAUGAACCGUUAUAACCGGCGAUUUCCGAAUGGGGAAACCCAGUGUGACUCGUCACACUAUCAUUAACUGAAUCCAUAGGUUAAUGAGGCGAACCGGGGGAACUGAAACAUCUAAGUACCCCGAGGAAAAGAAAUCAACCGAGAUUCCCCCAGUAGCGGCGAGCGAACGGGGAGGAGCCCAGAGCCUGAAUCAGCAUGUGUGUUAGUGGAAGCGUCUGGAAAGGCGCGCGAUACAGGGUGACAGCCCCGUACACAAAAGCGCAUGUGCUGUGAGCUCGAUGAGUAGGGCGGGACACGUGGUAUCCUGUCUGAAUAUGGGGGGACCAUCCUCCAAGGCUAAAUACUCCUGACUGACCGAUAGUGAACCAGUACCGUGAGGGAAAGGCGAAAAGAACCCCGGCGAGGGGAGUGAAAAAGAACCUGAAACCGUGUACGUACAAGCAGUGGGAGCACCCUUCGGGGUGUGACUGCGUACCUUUUGUAUAAUGGGUCAGCGACUUAUAUUCUGUAGCAAGGUUAACCGCAUAGGGGAGCCGCAGGGAAACCGAGUCUUAACCGGGCGUUAAGUUGCAGGGUAUAGACCCGAAACCCGGUGAUCUAGCCAUGGGCAGGUUGAAGGUUGGGUAACACUAACUGGAGGACCGAACCGACUAAUGUUGAAAAAUUAGCGGAUGACCUGUGGCUGGGGGUGAAAGGCCAAUCAAACCGGGAGAUAGCUGGUUCUCCCCGAAAGCUAUUUAGGUAGCGCCUCGUGAA